AUGAUGCAUGUAAUGGCAAAGUUCUAUGGAUCUGAGAUGAUGGUGCCAUUUGGACCAAAGGCAAUAACAAAUCUUUGUACAAGUUUUCGUAGAGAUGACACAAAGGAGGGUGAUCUGAUUGAGACAAUUGCGCACUUCAAGGAUAUACAAAAAACCGAUCCAGACUUCUUCUAUAAGGUGAAAUAUGAUGAAGAGGACAGAGUUGUCAACAUAUUUUGGGUGGAUGGCUUAGCUCGAAAAGAUUAUGCGGAGGCAUACCACGAUUGCAUAUCGUUUUACACCACCUACAUGACCAACAUGUACAAUAUGUCGUUCGCGCCCUUCAUAGGAAUAAAACGGCAUGGCCAAUCUUUCAUGCUGGGUUGCGCGUUUGUGAGGCAGGAGUUGGCAUCGAGCUUUGAUUGGGUCUUUGGAGCAUUCCUAGAGGCUAUGGAUGGCAAACCUCCUGACAACUUCAUCACCGAUCAGGAUGGUGCAAUGAGGCAGUCAAUACAGAGCAUCUUUCCAACCACCAUGCACCGCUGUUGUCGAUGGCACAUCAUGAAAAAGUCUCAAGAAAAAGUUGGUUGGCUGCUGUGCCGGAAUCCAGGACUCUCUGAUGAUUUCAACAAAUGUGUUCACUUCAGCUUCACUAUAGACGAGUUUGAGCAGAAUUGGGCUAGGUUAAUGAUGAAGUAUGAGGCUAUGACACACACGCACUUUGAGAAGUUGUACGAAUACAGGUCAACUUGGGUGUCGUGCUACUUCAAACACAGGUUCUUCCCGUUCCUACAGUCUACACAGCGUAGUGAGGGGUUCAACACCGUUCUGAAAAGAUAUGUGAACCCACACAACUCAAUGCUGAACUUCGUCAAGCAAUAUGAAAAAAUCCAGAACCACAUCCUUGCCAAGGAAGGCUGCAAUGAUUACAGGACAUAA
Molecule: ribosomal RNA, 918 nt
Filed under: Triticum aestivum (bread wheat)
Lineage: Eukaryota; Viridiplantae; Streptophyta; Magnoliopsida; Poales; Poaceae
Description: partial small subunit ribosomal RNA
Source: RNAcentral